Eptesicus fuscus (big brown bat) is the source of this 1577-nucleotide long non-coding RNA. RefSeq lists it as uncharacterized. The record is from RefSeq and is a predicted model, not a curated record. Lineage: Eukaryota; Metazoa; Chordata; Mammalia; Chiroptera; Vespertilionidae. The transcript has 3 exons.
UUCCCGGGCCCGGGCCCCCUCUGCUCCCCGGGCACCCCUGCACCCCAGGAGCCCCACUUGGCCUCCCUGGUGCAGUGCGCCCAAGCCUGGACUUUCGGGGGCUGGCUUCCCCCCCCCCCGCCCCCCCCGCUCCCUCGCGCGGACCGUCGGUGGCUCCCCGCGCCUGUCCCGCCGCUCGGACGUGGCUACUUUGGGGAUGGGGGUGGGGUGGGGAGCGCAGUAUAAAGGGUCGGAGGCGGCGCGGGCCGAGACCUAGACGUGGCGCGUCCACUCUCCCGGCCUCCGCUCCAGACCAAGAGAGUCGCUGCCGGUUCUUGGAGGACCGAUUUGUGGGGUGAGCCUCCCGCCUAGUUUGGGUCGAUUUCAGCGGAGUUCAAUCAGAGACAGGAACAGAUCAGAUGAACCAGGGAGGCAGCUGAGCAUUAAGAGAGGAGCUCCCGGAUGGACAAGCUCCAUCGAUAAACUGCCACCUCAAGGGGAGCAGCAGGGAGGGGGCCGAAGAGACUGUCACCUGGUAGAGCUGCAGAUGCUGCUGUGGUCAGGGAUGACCUUCAAGGGAAACCUCGGUAUCUGUGACCUUUACAACGCCCGGAGUUGUAUUAGUGUCAUGAAAAGCCCCAGUCCAGAAAUCAUGGCUUAUGGAUAUUUACAUCUUAACUGGGUUUUCCUACAAACAAGCCGGGGAUACAUUACAAUUCUCCACAAGUGUUCCUUUUUUCUACUGUUUUCCUUUUUUCAGAUCUGUGGCAUUUAAGAAUUGAAAAAACUGCAGGUCCUCUGAUCAGCCCCAUUAGUUUUUUUCUUAAAAAUGGCCAAACACUGGUAAAACGACAUGCAGUUUUUAUGCCUCACUAAGAUUGCUUCAUGCUGGUUUUGUUUAAGUAUUUGAAAGACUCAUGAUAUGGCUACAGAAAAUGGUGUGAUGCUCCCCAAAGUCUUGAGAGAAGAAUCACCAAGUAGGGAGAGUUCAGGGAGCCUUGAGCUGCACCAGGGUUGCUUAGGGUUUCUGCCCCUAUAAAUGCUCACUCCCCCUUUAGUGUAGCAGCCCACUCCCAUGACAGAGAUUGACAGAGAUAAGCAGGCGAGUUUUAUUCAAAACAACAACCAGAAACUAUAACAGAAUACAAAUAAAAUAGUAUGACACAUCUGAGAAUGAGCAUAAAUGGGGAUGGGACAGAGUGUGGGGUCCUGGACCUUAAAGGGAAGGACCAGCGCAACUGCUGGCCAGCCCUCUGCCCAUCAGUACACUGGACACUCCGUCACGCUCCCUUCUCUGAAGUCUGAGUUCCACCCACAGCCACCCAGGGCCUGCUUCCAGCUCCUCGUGUCAGCCAGCAGCGUGUGCCCCUGCCAGCUGUUCCACAGAGGCUGGCUCCGAACACCCUGGUCAUCGUCCAGCCCAGGUGAGCUUCCUCACCUUUUCGCUCUCUAGACCAGAGCUCACUCCAUAGGGGAAAACCACCACCGGAAGUAUUUUUGCCUUGUCAUUUUUCUUUUUAUUGUCUUGUCUUUAUGGUUAAAUUUCUUCAUAUAUUUUUCUAGCAACCCAGUUCCCUUACAAUAAAAUUGUUGUGCUC